RNAcentral lists this long non-coding RNA (751 nucleotides) under Capra hircus (goat). RNAcentral describes it as "lncRNA (ENSCHIG00000005076.1)". The record is from RNAcentral. Lineage: Eukaryota; Metazoa; Chordata; Mammalia; Artiodactyla; Bovidae.
GCCUUCUGGUUUUCUAUGUCACAGAAAUUGACCAGUCAGUGAACCCAGGUCUCUUGCAUUGUAGGCAGAUGCUUUACCAUCUGAGCCACCAGGGAAGUCAACCAAAUACUAGUAAACUGCAGAUUCAAACACAGGCAAAUCCUCCCAGGUCACAGAUGUAGCAAAUAUUUUAAAGGUCUAGAUAGCCAGUAUUUUUGUCUUUCUAGAUCAUCCGACCUCUACUGAAGCUACUGACUCAGAUCCUCUAGUCCCCUAACUACCUUAGAUAAUAAACAAAUGGAUAUGGUUGUUCCAGUAAAAUUUUAUGUACACAUACAUAUGGCUGAUGUUCAUAGCUUGCCAACUCCUACCCAGAUGAUUAAAUAGCCAGGGAAAUAAUGCCUAAGUGUGACACUGAGGGCACAUGAAGUUAUCUAUUAAUAAUUUUGGUUCAUUUUUCUCAACAGAAUCAAACUGUGAAUGGGGCCUCCUGAACUUGCUGCUGCAGCCCCACCCCUCGACCACCUAUGUGGAUUCAGCAGAGCAUCUAUGUUUAUUCAGAUGGACCACACUCUCUCCCUCCCUGUCCUCAUCAGUAUUGUCUGGACCAUGGUUGUCUCCGACCCAAACUCAAAAUCUGAUAUGGAAGAAUGAUGCAGCUCACCCCUGCGGAGAGACAGAAGUCACCAAUAUCCUCCCUUGUCUUCCCCCACUCCUAAAAGGAACUUAGAAACAUUAAAAAGAAUGACCUUGAGCAUCCACAUCUCUACUG